This 467-nucleotide ribosomal RNA is filed under the name uncultured bacterium. Its description in RNAcentral is "partial 16S ribosomal RNA". It matches the Rfam family "Bacterial small subunit ribosomal RNA", at positions 28 to 507 of the family's 1533-position model. The record is from RNAcentral.
GAUGAACGCUGACAGAAUGCUUAACACAUGCAAGUCAACCUGAAUGUGGGUGUUUUUCUUGGGUGUGGGUGUCGGACGGGUGAGUAACGCGUAAAGAACUUGUCUCACAGCUAUGGACAACAUUUGGAAACGAAUGCUAAUAUCUAAUAUUGUAAUAAUAGGUCCUUCGAGAGUUAUGAAAAGUAUAAGCGCUGUGAGAGGGCUUUGCGUCCCAUUAGCUGGUUGGGGAGGUAACGGCUAACCAAGGCGAUGAUGGGUAGCCGGCCUGAGAGGGUGAUCGGCAAAUAGGGAACUGAGAAACGGCCCGACUCCUACCGGGAGGAAGAAGGGGGGAUAAUUGGCAAAUGGACCGAGCGUGUGGUAGCGACGCUGCGUGUGGAAGAUCGACUUUUUCGGAAUGUAAAGCGUUUUCCGUUGAGAAGAAGUAAAUGACGGUACCGACAGAAGAAGCGCCGGCUAACUACGUG